This 406-nucleotide ribosomal RNA is filed under the name uncultured bacterium. RNAcentral describes it as "partial 16S ribosomal RNA". It matches the Rfam family "Bacterial small subunit ribosomal RNA", at positions 28 to 526 of the family's 1533-position model. The record is from RNAcentral.
GACGAACGCUGGCGGCAGGCCUAACACAUGCAAGUCGAACGAGUGGCGGACGGGUGAGUAAUGUCUGGGAAACUGCCCGAUGGAGGGGGAUAACUACUGGAAACGGUAGCUAAUACCGCAUCCCAUCGGAUGUGCCCAGAUGGGCUUAGCUAGUAGGUGGGGUAACGGCUGACCUAGGCGACGAUCCGUAGCUGGUCUGAGAGGAUGACCAGCUACACUGUAACUGAGACACUGUCCAGACUCCAACGGGAGGCAGCAGAGGGGAAUAUUGCAUAAUGGGCGCAAGCCUGAUGCAGCCAUGCCGCGUGUAUGAAGAAGGCCUUCGGGUUGAAAAGUACUUUCAGCGAGGAGGCGUUACUCGCAGCAGAAGCACCGACUAACUCCGUGCCAGCAGCCGCGGUAAUAC